Molecule: microRNA precursor, 103 nt
Filed under: Marmota monax (woodchuck)
Lineage: Eukaryota; Metazoa; Chordata; Mammalia; Rodentia; Sciuridae
Source: RNAcentral
AAUAGGAUAGCUGGGUUGAAUGGUGGUUCCAUUCCAAAUUUUCUAAGGAAUCUGCAUACUGCUUUCCAUAUUGGCUGCACCAGUUUGCAGUCCCACCAGCAAU